UUUCCGUAGGUGAACCUGCGGAAGGAUCAUUCAUAAUAAGUGUUUUAUGGCACUUUUUUAAAUCCAUAUCCACCUUGUGUGCAAUGUCAGGGUUGAUUUUUCUCUCGAGAGGAUCAACCCCAAACAUCAACUACAUCUCAACUCUUUGUCUGAAAAAUAUUAUGAAUAAAACAAUUCAAAAUACAACUUUCAGCAACGGAUCUCUUGGCUCUC
RNAcentral lists this unclassified non-coding RNA (213 nucleotides) under plant metagenome. RNAcentral's name for it is "partial contains small subunit ribosomal RNA, internal transcribed spacer 1, and 5.8S ribosomal RNA". The record is from RNAcentral.